Molecule: ribosomal RNA, 497 nt
Filed under: uncultured bacterium
Lineage: Bacteria
Description: partial 16S ribosomal RNA
Rfam family: Bacterial small subunit ribosomal RNA
Source: RNAcentral
GAUGAACGCUGGCGGCGUGCCUAAUACAUGCAAGUCGAGCGAACAGACGAGGAGCUUGCUCCUCUGACGUUAGCGGCGGACGGGUGAGUAACACGUGGAUAACCUACCUAUAAGACUGGGAUAACUUCGGGAAACCGGAGCUAAUACCGGAUAAUAUAUUGAACCGCAUGGUUCAAUAGUGAAAGACGGUUUUGCUGUCACUUAUAGAUGGAUCCGCGCCGCAUUAGCUAGUUGGUAAGGUAACGGCUUACCAAGGCAACGAUGCGUAGCCGACCUGAGAGGGUGAUCGGCCAAACUGGAAAUGAGACACGGUCCAGGCUCCUAAGGGAGGCAGCAGUAGGGAAUCUUCCGCAAUGGGCGAAAGCUUGACGGAGCAACGCCGCGUGAGUGAUGAAGGUCUUCGGAUCGUAAAACUCUGUUAUUAGGGAAGAACAAAUGUGUAAGUAACUAUGCACGUCUUGACGGUACCUAAUCAGAAAGCCGCGGCUAACUACGUG